Molecule: ribosomal RNA, 485 nt
Filed under: uncultured bacterium
Lineage: Bacteria
Description: partial 16S ribosomal RNA
Rfam family: Bacterial small subunit ribosomal RNA
Source: RNAcentral
AUUGAACGCUGGCGGCAUGCCUUACACAUGCAAGUCGAACGGCAGCGGGCCCUUCGGGGUGCCGGCGAGUGGCGAACGGGUGAGUAAUGCAUCGGAACGUACCCGGGAGAGGGGGAUAACCGGCCGAAAGGCUGGCUAAUACCGCAUGAACUCGGAAGAGCAAAGCGGGGGACCUUCGGGCCUCGCGCUCUCGGAGCGGCCGAUGUCCGAUUAGGCUAGUUGGUGGGGUAAAGGCCCACCAAGGCGACGAUCGGUAGCGGGUCUGAGAGGACGAUCCGCCACACUGGGACUGAGACACGGCCCAGACUCCUACGGGAGGCAGCAGUGGGGAAUCUUGGACAAUGGGCGCAAGCCUGAUCCUGCAAUGCCGCGUGGGUGAAGAAGGCCUUCGGGUUGUAAAGCCCUUUCGGCGGGGAAGAAAUCGGUCAGGCGAAUAGUCUGGCCGGAUGACGGUACCCGCAGAAGAAGCACCGGCUAACUACGUG